GAUCCUGGCUCAGAUUGAACGCUGGCGGCAGGCCUAACACAUGCAAGUCGAGCGGCAGCACGGGGAGCUUGCUCCCUGGUGGCGAGCGGCGGACGGGUGAGUAAUGCAUAGGAAUCUGCCCGGUAGUGGGGGAUAACCUGGGGAAACCCAGGCUAAUACCGCAUACGUCCUACGGGAGAAAGCAGGGGACCUUCGGGCCUUGCGCUAUCGGAUGAGCCUAUGUCGGAUUAGCUGGUUGGUG
Molecule: ribosomal RNA, 241 nt
Filed under: uncultured bacterium
Lineage: Bacteria
Description: partial 16S ribosomal RNA
Rfam family: Bacterial small subunit ribosomal RNA
Source: RNAcentral